CCUACGGGAGGCAGCAGUAGGGAAUCUUCCACAAUGGGCGAAAGCCUGAUGGAGCAACGCCGCGUGGGUGAAGAAGGUCUUCGGAUCGUAAAACCCUGUUGUUAGAGAAGAAAGUGCGUGAGAGUAAAUGUUCACGUUUCGACGGUAUCUAACCAGAAAGCCACGGCUAACUACGGGCCAGGAGCCGCGGUAAUACGUAGGUGGCAAGCGUUAUCCGGCUUUAUUGGGCGUAAAGGGAACGCAGGCGGUCUUGUAAGGCUGAUGUGAAAGCGGUCGGGUUAACCGGGGUAGUGCAUUGGAAACUGGGAGACGUGAGUGCAGAAGAGGAGAGUGGAACUCCAUGUGUAGCGGUGAAAUGCGUAGAUAUAUGGAAGAACACCAGUGGCGAAAGCGGCUCUCUGGUCUGUAACUGACGCGGAGGUUCGAAAGCGUGGGUAGCAAACAGGAUUAGAUACCCCUGUAGUC
This 465-nucleotide ribosomal RNA is filed under the name uncultured bacterium. Its description in RNAcentral is "partial 16S ribosomal RNA". It matches the Rfam family "Bacterial small subunit ribosomal RNA", at positions 338 to 795 of the family's 1533-position model. The record is from RNAcentral.